RNAcentral lists this ribosomal RNA (1614 nucleotides) under Ruinenia clavata. RNAcentral's name for it is "SSU rRNA". It matches the Rfam family "Eukaryotic small subunit ribosomal RNA", at positions 28 to 1672 of the family's 1831-position model. The record is from RNAcentral. Lineage: Eukaryota; Fungi; Basidiomycota; Agaricostilbomycetes; Agaricostilbales; Ruineniaceae.
AAGCCAGACUCAGAUAGCCAUGCAUGUCUAAGUAUAAGCAAAUCUAUACUGUGAAACUGCGAACGGCUCAUUAAAUCAGUUAUAGUUUAUUUGAUGGUACCUUACUACAUGGAUAACUGUGGUAAUUCUAGAGCUAAUACAUGCCGAAAAGCCCCUUUCACGAGGGGUGUAUUUAUUAGAUUAAAGACCGUUGAGCUCCGGCUCAUUUGGUGAAUCAUGAUAACUGCUCGAAUCGCAUGGCCUUGCGCCGGCGAUGCUUCAUUCAAAUACCUGCCCUAUCAACUUUCGAUGGUAGGAUAGAGGCCUACCAUGGUUGCGACGGGUAACGGGGAAUAAGGGUUCGAUUCCGGAGAGAGAGCCUGAGAAACGGCUCUCAUGACUAAGGUCAGCAGCAGGCGCGCAAAUUAUCCACUCGCAAUACGCGGAGAUAGUGACAAUAAAUAACAAUAGAGGGCUCUUUUGGGUCUUCUAAUUGGAAUGAGUACAAUCUAAAUCCCUUAACGAGGAUCAAUUGGAGGGCAAGUCUGGUGCCAGCAGCCGCGGUAAUUCCAGCUCCAAUAGCGUAUAUUAAAUUUGUUGCUGUUAAAAAGCUCGUAGUCGAACUUCGGCCGCCCGCCAGCCGGUCCGCUCUCUGAGUGUGUACUGGACCUGGCGGCGGCUUAACCUCCUGGUGAACGGGCAUGCACUUUAUUGGGUGUGCCCGGGAACCCGGACUUUUACUUUGAAUAAAUCAGAGUGUUCAAAGCAGGCAUGUUUGCCCGAAUGUUACAGCAUGGAAUAAUAGAAUAAGACGUGUGUCGCUAUUGGUCUUUUAGACGGCACCGUAAUGAUAAAUAGGGGCGGUUGGGGGCAUUUGUAUUCAAUUGCUAGAGGUGAAAUUCUUGGAUUUAUUGAAGACAAACUACUGCGAAAGCAUUUGCCAAGGACGCUUUCAUUGAUCAAGAACGAAGGUCGGGGGAUCGAAAACGAUUAGAUACCGUUGUAGUCUCGACAGUAAACGAUGCCGACUGGGGAUCGGCCAGGGUAUUAUUUUAUGACCUGGUCGGCACCCAAAGAGAAAUCUUAAGUAAGGUUCAGGGGGGAGUACGGUCGCAAGGCUGAAACUUAAAGGAAUUGACGGAAGGGCACCACCAGGAGUGGAGCCUGCGGCUUAAUUUGACUCAACACGGGGAAACUCACCAGGUCCAGACACAAAAAGGAUUGACAGAUUGAUAGCUCUUUCUUGAUCUUGUGGUUGGUGGUGCAUGGCCGUUCUUAGUUGGUGGAGUGAUUUGUCUGCUUAAUUGCGAUAACGAACGAGACCUUAACCUGCUAAAUAGCCCGGCUGGCUUUGGCUGGCCGCUGGCUUCUUAGAGGGACUAUCGACGUUUAGUCGAUGGAAGUUUGAGGCAAUAACAGGUCUGUGAUGCCCUUAGAUGUUCUGGGCCGCACGCGCGCUACACUGACAGAGCCAGCGAGUCUCAUUUCUCCUUGGCCGGAAGGCCUGGGUAAUCUUGUGAAACUCUGUCGUGAUGGGGAUAGAGCAUUGCAAUUAUUGCUCUUCAACGAGGAAUUCCUAGUAAGCGUGAGUCAUCAGCUCGCGUUGAUUACGUCCCUGCCCUUUGUACACCCCAA